This 505-nucleotide ribosomal RNA is filed under the name Amynthas sp. YN201107-14. RNAcentral's name for it is "partial 16S ribosomal RNA". It matches the Rfam family "Bacterial large subunit ribosomal RNA", at positions 1805 to 2608 of the family's 2925-position model. The record is from RNAcentral. Lineage: Eukaryota; Metazoa; Annelida; Clitellata; Crassiclitellata; Megascolecidae.
UUUCAAAAACAUUGUCCCAUGAAAUAUAUAUAUGGGAUAAUACCUGCCCAGUGACAAAUGUUUAACGGCCGCGGUAUCCUAACCGUGCAAAGGUAGCAUAAUCAUUUGCCUAUUAAUUGUAGGCUAGAAUGAACGGGUUAACGAAAUAAAGACUGUCUCAAUUAGCCACCUAAAAAUUAUUCUCUACAUGAAGAAAAGUAGAUACUUUCGAGGGACAAGAAGACCCUAUAGAGCUUAACUUAAUUAUAGAAAUACACUAUAAAAACAUUUGGUUGGGGCGACCUUGGGAUAAAAAUCACCCAAUAAAUAAAAGAUAUAUUAAUCAAGUAAAUGACCCUAAAAUAGAUCAUUAGACCAAGCUACCUUAGGGAUAACAGGCUAAUCCUACUCAAGAGUUCUUAUCAACAGUAGGGUUUGGCACCUCGAUGUUGGCUUAAGGUAUCAAUAUAGCGCAAAAGUUAUAUAAAGAUGGUUUGUUCAACCAAUAACACCUUACGUGAUCUGU